This 406-nucleotide ribosomal RNA is filed under the name uncultured bacterium. Its description in RNAcentral is "partial 16S ribosomal RNA". It matches the Rfam family "Bacterial small subunit ribosomal RNA", at positions 30 to 526 of the family's 1533-position model. The record is from RNAcentral.
AUUGAACGCUGUCGGCAGGCUUAACACAUGCACGUCGAGCGAGCGGCGGACGGGUGAGUAAUGUCUGGGAAACUGCCUGAUGGAGGGGGAUAACUACUGGAAACGGUAGCUAAUACCGCAUACAAUAAGAUGUGCCCCGAUGGGAUUAGCUAGUAGGUUGGGUAAUGGCUCACCUAGGCGACGAUCCAUAGCUGGUCUGAGAGGAUGACAAGCCACACUGGAACUGAUACACGGUCCAGACUCCUACGUGAGGCAGAAGUGGGGAAUAUUGCACAAUGGGCGCAAGCCUGAUGCAGCCAUGCCGCGUGUGUGAAGAAGGCCUUCGGGUUGUAAAGCACUUUCAGCGAGGAGGCGUUACUCGCAGAAGAAGCACCGGCUAACUCCGUGCCAGCAGCCGCGGUAAUUC